CUCAUUUUUGGUGUCGCUUCUCUUCUUUCCACAAUAAAUUAAUCAACACGUCUCUGUGUCCUAUAGGUACAGUGCAUAGUCGCAUUUGUCACCCAUUCAUAUGAUUAUUCAGAUUGAGUUAUUUUGGGAGAAAAACGAGAAAAAAGGUGUCAGACCACAAUUAAAAAAUCCCUAUCUGUUCAACCAAAUUUUGCAAUUUUCACAGCUUUCUAAAUAUUUUACCUUAAGUUUAACUUCAUAGAAACCAGGUAUAUCCUUAAUUGUACAUGUAUCAGCUUUCUACAUGCCAAUUUUCACCAUACCUUUAAAGCCUUUCUAACAAAAUAACUGACCAUCAGAGGUACUCCAAAACAAAAACCUGGUUUUCUGGAAAUCUAAAAUUAGUAUACUAGGGAGCGC
RNAcentral lists this long non-coding RNA (399 nucleotides) under Mytilus galloprovincialis (Mediterranean mussel). The record is from RNAcentral. Lineage: Eukaryota; Metazoa; Mollusca; Bivalvia; Mytilida; Mytilidae.